This 73-nucleotide transfer RNA is filed under the name Thermoplasmatales archaeon. Its description in RNAcentral is "tRNA-Gly". It matches the Rfam family "tRNA". From Rfam's summary of the family: Transfer RNA (tRNA) molecules are approximately 80 nucleotides in length. Their secondary structure includes four short double-helical elements and three loops (D, anti-codon, and T loops). Further hydrogen bonds mediate the characteristic L-shaped molecular structure. tRNAs have two regions of fundamental functional importance: the anti-codon, which is responsible for specific mRNA codon recognition, and the 3' end, to which the tRNAs corresponding amino acid is attached (by aminoacyl-tRNA synthetases). tRNAs cope with the degeneracy of the genetic code in two manners: having more than one tRNA (with a specific anti-codon) for a particular amino acid; and 'wobble' base-pairing, i.e. permitting non-standard base-pairing at the 3rd anti-codon position. Lineage: Archaea; Methanobacteriati; Thermoplasmatota; Thermoplasmata; Thermoplasmatales. The record is from RNAcentral. RNAcentral also lists the same sequence under 1 other name.
GCAGCUGUGAUCUAGUUGGUUAGGAUUCAAGCCUUCCAAGCUUGUUGCCCGGGUUCGAAUCCCGGCGGCUGCA